CCAGCCCACCUGAAAUUCCAAUCUUGCCCCUGCCCCUCACGAUAAAAAAAAUUCAGAUAUCACAGGUGUUGGGAGCUUCCCCAAGUCUUUUUCUAAAGAUAACAUGGUGUAACAGCGAUAGUCUACAAUCUAUUCAUAGCAUUUUCGAGGCACAUCAACAGAGCUACCAUCAUCCAUCUUUGCUAAACUGAGAAAUCUGGACCGACAAUCUAAACGCAGCAUCCGGAUCAAUCCUACCGCAAUCCUACCGCGUACCAAGAAAAAAACAAGUACAUGGAUCAGUAAGUUCAAUCCUAAUCGAUAUUUUUCUUCACGGAUGCGCCCUUCCCCCCAAAUCGAACCAAACUGAAACUAUACAGAACCCGGCCAGGAGAGUGAUUAGGGAGGCCUUACCCGGGAGGCACAUCAGUGGGAUCCAUGGUGUCCGUUCAGCCUGUUCCGACCGCCCGCAUCUGCUGGUUGCGUUCCUCCCCAGGAACCUAGCGGCGGCGCAAGAACGAGCGAGAGGAGAGAGGGACGAAAGAGAGGAGCUGCCUGGUGGCCGGUGGCCUGAUUCAAUCGUGAGGAGAUAAGGUGCCAAGCGGCAGGGGCAAGGUUGGAAUUUCAGGUGGGCUGGGAAAGAAAAAGAAAUGGGAAAAGAGGCAAAAUUGAGAAAAUAGAUGGAAAACACCUAAAAUGAAACAAUACGUGAGACGGGGGUCAAAUUCUGAAAGGCACGUGAAUUGGGUCCAAAAUCCUGAAAGGUGCUCGUAUUUGAUCCCAGAUUCUGAAAUUUCUCCACCAAAUAUACAUGAUUUUAU
RNAcentral lists this long non-coding RNA (800 nucleotides) under Panicum hallii. RNAcentral describes it as "long non-coding RNA (PHAL_LNC000399)". The record is from RNAcentral. Lineage: Eukaryota; Viridiplantae; Streptophyta; Magnoliopsida; Poales; Poaceae.